This 1214-nucleotide ribosomal RNA is filed under the name metagenome. RNAcentral describes it as "SSU rRNA". It matches the Rfam family "Eukaryotic small subunit ribosomal RNA", at positions 582 to 1792 of the family's 1831-position model. The record is from RNAcentral.
AUUCCAGCUCCAAUAGGAUAUAUCAAAGUUGUUGCAGUUAAAAAGCUCGUAGUUGAAUUUCUGGUGGGGUUUUCUUCGAGUGUGAUAAUUUUCAGGGCAACUUGAAUUUUAUUGCGCCACCCGCCAUAUUGUGGAUCAAUACAAGUAUGAAUGGUUUACUCCAUUUAUAUUUGUACCACUCAGUCACUGAGAGCAAAUUGGAGUGCUCAAAGCAGGCUUGAUAGCUUUGAACAUUUUAGCUUGGAAUGACAAGAUAUGACUUUUGUUGUAUUUUGUUGGUUAUACAAUGAAAGUAAUGAUUAACAGGAACAGUUGCGGGGGUACUCGUAUUGAAAGGUCAGAGGUGAAAUUCUUGGAUUCUUUCAAGACGAACGACUGCGAAAGCAUUUACCAAGGAUGUUUUCAUUAAUCAAGAACGAAAGCUCGGGGAUCGAAGAUGAUUAGAUACCAUCGUAGUCCGACGCCAUAAACGAUGCCGACUCGGGAUUGUCUUGUUUAUUCUAAUUAAAAAACGAAUCAAGGCAGCACCGUAUGAGAAAUCAAAGUCUUUGGGUUCCGGGGGGAGUAUGGUCGCAAGGCUGAAACUUAAAGGAAUUGACGGAAGGGCACACCAGAGGUGGAGCCUGCGGUUUAAUUUGACCCAACACGGGGAAACUUACCAGGUCCAGACAUGAUGAGGAUUGACAGUUUGAAAGCACUUUCUUGAUUUCAUGGGUGGUGGUGCAUGGCCGUUCUUAGUUGGUGGAGUGAUUUGUCUGGUUGAUUCCGAUAACGAACGAGACGGGGAGAGUUAACUAGGUGAUUGGAUAACUCACGUUAUUCACACCUUCUUUGCUCGACAACUUGGUUUUACCAAGGGGAAGCGCCCCGCAAUAACAGGUCUGUGAUGCCCUUAGAUGUUCUGGGCCACACGCGCGCUACAAUGACGAAUUCAACGAGUUUUUUAUUCCUUGCCCGGAAGGGUGUGGGUAAUCUUUUCAAUGUUCGUCGUGAUGGGGCUAGAUUAUUGCAAUUAUUAAUCUUCAACGAGGAAUCUCUAGUAUGUGCAAGUCAUCAGCUUGCGCAGAAUGCGUCCCUGCCCUUUGUACACACCGCCCGUCGCACCUACCGAUUGGACGAUCCGGCAAGAAGUUUGGAGUUGUUUUUCUUUGCAGCAAUGCAUGAAAAAUGACAAAGCUCUUCAAACCUUAUCGUCUAGAGGAAGGUGAAGUCGU